RNAcentral lists this ribosomal RNA (566 nucleotides) under uncultured Planctomycetota bacterium. RNAcentral's name for it is "bacterial SSU rRNA". It matches the Rfam family "Bacterial small subunit ribosomal RNA", at positions 349 to 912 of the family's 1533-position model. The record is from RNAcentral. Lineage: Bacteria; Pseudomonadati; Planctomycetota.
CAGCAGUCGAGAAUCUUCGGCAAUGGACGAAAGUCUGACCGAGCGACGCCGCGUGCGGGAUGAAGGCCUUCGGGUUGUAAACCGCUGUCAGUGGGGAGGAAGGUCCUGUGAAGAGCAGGAUUUGACCUAUCCGCAGAGGAAGUGAGGGCUAAGCUCGUGCCAGCAGCCGCGGUAAGACGAGCCUCACAAACGUUAUUCGGAAUUACUGGGCUUAAAGGGUGCGUAGGCGGCGCGGAAAGUUGGGUGUGAAAUCCCUCGGCUUAACCGAGGAAUUGCGCUCAAUACUACCGUGCUCGAGGGAGAUAGAGGAAUGCGGAACUUACGGUGGAGCGGUGAAAUGCGUUGAUAUCGUAGGGAACACCGGUGGCGAAAGCGGCAUUCUGGAUCUCUUCUGACGCUGAGGCACGAAAGCUAGGGUAGCAACACGGGAUUAGAUACCCCAGUAGUCCUAGCCGUAAACGAUGGAUACUAGGCGCUGUGCGUAUCGACCCGUGCAGUGCUGUAGCUAACGCGUUAAGUAUCCCGCCUGGGGAGUACGUUCGCAAGAAUGAAACUCAAAGGAAUUG